Molecule: small nuclear RNA, 125 nt
Organism: Pseudophryne corroboree (corroboree frog)
Lineage: Eukaryota; Metazoa; Chordata; Amphibia; Anura; Myobatrachidae
Source: RefSeq, a predicted model, not a curated record
GUGUUAUAUGAAAGAGAGACAGUUAGCACUUCCCUUGACAAGGAUGGAAGAGAUCCAGUGGCCUUUACAACACAUAUACAGUUAACGCACUGCCACCUUCUUAGUUUUUAAGACUGUUUCACUCU